RNAcentral lists this ribosomal RNA (609 nucleotides) under fungal sp. PIMO_0.06. RNAcentral's name for it is "eukaryotic LSU rRNA". The stretch from base 207 to 360 matches the Rfam family "5.8S ribosomal RNA". Lineage: Eukaryota; Fungi. The record is from RNAcentral.
GAUCAUUACUGAAUAACUAAAUCUUUAGUUUUUCAUACCCCAUUGUUGACUCACCCAUGUUGCUUCCACGUGGACAGGCGUUUAUUCUGCCCUCUGGCUAGUCGUGCUUACCCCACACUUGACAGGGAGUUGCCCGUGGUAAGACCCCAAUAUUACACUUGAUAUAUAUACUAUAAUGUCUGAAUAAAUCAUUUCAAAUGAAAUAAAACUUUCAACAACGGAUCUCUAGGCUCUUGCAUCGAUGAAGAACGCAGUGAAAUGCGAUAAGUAAUGUGAAUUGCAGAAUCUCGUGAAUCAUCGAAUCUUUGAACGCACAUUGCGCCCUAUGGUAUUCCGUAGGGCAUGCCUGUCUGAGCGUCAGCUCCCCCCAACUCAAACUUUUUUCUUUUAGAAGGAAGCUUGGAUUACUUUGAAGGUGUAGCUUGCAAAGGCUGCUUUUCAGAAAUUCAUAGGCAGUAUGGUUAUUCCUAGACCAGACGUAAUAAUAAUAAAACCGUCUUUUUGGGAAAGAAUCGUGCUCGCCUUAACCCACCCAUUAUCUUUUUACUUGGGUGACCUCAGAUCAGGUAGGGAUACCCGCUGAACUUAAGCAUAUCAAUAAGCGGAGGA